AAAACACUUAAAUUAUGAACUAAGGAAAAUGAAGGGGCCAAAGAUGUUAAAAUCGAAACUUAUGUUGCUAAUUUAAUUAAAACAAAAACCAAACACCCCAUUUGGGGAUGUCUGGUCGUACAAAGAAGCAGGAGGCGAUGGGUUUCUUCAAACCCUAAAAUCCUUACUAAAACUCUCAAAUUGGAGGUGCAAAUCUGGUCCAAAACGAAAAUCGAGCAUAGAUUACUGAUCCCCAUUGCAAGGGGGUUGUAAGUUUGACUCUUGACAAGCUAGAUGGAGGCUUGGAAUGAAGCGGGUCAAACGGAGGAAGUACGAAAAGGAAAGCGUAAUUUGGAUGCGAGGUAAGUAAAGCUUACGCCCUCUUUUGUAAGUUAUGUGUUUAUUCAUAGGUUGUAAAUACGACAAAAGCUAUAUUUGAAAUAUGGUUCCGACACGAAAUGAAACGGGUCGGGACAUAUAAAAUAAUGAUAAACCAUGUUUAAUGGUAAAAUGGGCGAAAUGGUAAUUGGUCACGAGAUGACAUAUAUAUAAAAUGAGUUUUUGAAUGGCUACUUAUUAAGGUAAGCCUAAACGAAUAAAAAGAGUAAAACGACGAAUUAGUCAUGUGUAGACGAAAAAGAGUUGAAGUUUAAAACAACACCAUUUAAUAUUAAGCACAAAAUAUUUGGUAGUCUAGACCAAACGGGUCAAAUGGUAAUAUUUAUACCAUUUGACAAUUAACGACUAAUAAGUGUAUGUCGAGUCUCAUGCUCGCAGGGUAAUUGGUUUAUGAAUUAGCGAGGCUAUGAAUUAGCAUAUUAUAGAGACAAGGUCUUAAAACGGGUCAAUAUGUUGACCCGAGCCAGUCUUAGGUACUCAAGGAUUAUGGGUGAUGAUCAAGCAACUUUUGAAGGACCGAACACAUACUCUUGAAGCUUCCGCAUAAAUCAACUCGGUUUAAACAAUGUUUAUGAUGUAAACUGUUUGCUAAACAACUUUUGAAAUGUUUAAACGACGUACUCAAUUAUGUUAUAUUGUAUUAUUUUUAAA
Molecule: long non-coding RNA, 1029 nt
Organism: Helianthus annuus (common sunflower)
Lineage: Eukaryota; Viridiplantae; Streptophyta; Magnoliopsida; Asterales; Asteraceae
Exons: 3
Source: RefSeq, a predicted model, not a curated record